GCAUAAAUUCUCUGUCAUAAAUCUGAUCAUCGUAGCAAUUAAUCAGGCUGAAGUGGUGCCCACUGAAGGGCAUUUGUCAUUUUAUGGCAUCCACAUUUUCUCUUGUAUCAUUUGUUCACGCAAAACAAGAACUUCUGGUUUCUAUGUUGCCAUCCAAGAGUAGCAAUAAGAAAUUAUUUUAGUUGCUUCAAGCUAGUUCCUAAUGAAUAUAUUUCUCUAUGCUAUCUAGGUUGCCAGAAAUUCUUAUGGCAAAAAGGAUGAGUAAAGGGUUAACUUUCCUUCAUCUCAAAGAUGGGGAGAAUAUUGUCUUGUAAUUUGGGGAUUUCCAGUGCUGCCACUCAAACACUUUAUUCUAAAAAUCAUAAUGCUAACUGAAAUGUUACAGAAUUUGAGAAAAAGAGCUAAAGGAAGUGUCUUAUUAAAAACACUUUCCUGAUGUGGGAAUAAUGAUGCUCAGCAGGUAACAGUAGAACAGUGAGGGGAUCUCUUUGUCAUAGCUUGCUGUUGCUCCCAGUUUCCCUUGCUGAUCAGUUUCAGACAUUACCUUGGAAAUGACAGUGUGUAAGGAUAUGGAUGUGCUUAAUUUCCUUUCAAUUUCCUUGCCUGGUGUCCAUUUCUGUUGCCUAAUGCCUGGGGACAAGUACAAUUGGAACUAUGGUAUGCAGCCAACAAAUCCCCAUUAAAAAUCCCCAUUUAAAGGGUUUGCAGUUUUAACCUACAAAUGUUUCUAUUUAGACCCCACUGAAAACAAUGUUACCAGGUUUGGUAGUGAUUUUGGGGGUAAAAUUCAUAUCUCUAUUAGCAGCACUGACAUGUCUGAUUAAUUUUACACAGAGCAGUGAGGUGACAUGGUGUCUGGACUACAACAGGAUGCAGAUUUAAAGUACCACACUCUUCUCCCCUGGGCAACAUCAUGGUUCUUUUGGUCCACGUGAAGUUGGGAAGCCUUAAUUUUUUAUUUGUUCACCCAAAAUUGUGAUCAUAUUUAAUAAUUCAUGACAGCUACCUGGCACAAUUUCAAUUCAUGUGCCUAAAUCUCGACAAGCACUAAUUAAAUCUGGCCAACAAACCUUCCCUUAGUACACACACCCCACUCACCAGUAGAUGGCCUUGGUCACAAAGCUAUUGUGGCUGGGAAGUAACUGAUUUAAUGAGACUGUAAGUGGGGUAAAGGAUAAAAUGGUAGAAGCAUUAAGUGCUUUUUAAAUAAUUCAGAUUUGUAUUUUUAAUUUAAAAAAUCUUGAUAUUUUUCCUUGCUUUCAUAGUGAGUCAACGAUAGUGUCUUGUGUUCUCUCUGCAGUGCCUCCCCAUUUUAAAGUGGCAAUUUAUCUGCAUUCUUAAUGUGGGAAAGAUGUGCUGUACGUGUGAAUUCACACAGGCACCUCUGUGGCUGACAGUAGCAAAGCUAAUUUUUAAUAUUUACAGUUUGAAAUAUGUUUAUCAUGUUGAUUGUGGUUCCUUUGCCUCCUGUCCCAGCAUUGUCUGAUUACUUCAAGGGACACAUUUAGCUUUCUCCAGUUUCUAAGGCAUGUUCAAGCUUGACUUUAUCAUCACUUUGGGUUAUAUUUAGUUAAUUAUUUUGAGGUCUUAUGGCUGGAAAUCUGUUUAGUAGUAAAAGUCAUAUUUUUUAUCACAGUAGUGAUCAUACUCCUUCAAAACUUCACAGCUGCCCUGCUUUUUUUGUUUGUUGUGUGAUUAAGCUUGAUUUCUGGCCCAUGUGCUCUAUUGGUUGCAGGUGGGGGCUUUGAGAUUCCUUCCUCCCAGGCUGUAAUGACAUGAUGGCUCACAGCUUAAAAGAGAUGGGAUAGAAGAGUGUGUUCUGCUUUUAGUUUCAUUUCUCCUGUGUGCAUGGGUGUGAUAGCUGAUCUCUAGGCACUGGGCCACAUGUAGACACAGGAAGAGGUAUUUAGCUGUUAAAAAAGCAAGCAGUGCCUACACAGCUGUGCUUUUGUUCUUCUAAGGGAAAAGCACCUGGGGCAAAUGCUGUUGCACAGGGACUGUCAGGGUUUUUGUACUCAAGAUAUACAGCUGCAGUUCUUGCAAUCUGCUGUGUCUCCGCACUGCUCUGCUGACCGCCCCGUAUGCAGAUUUGGAGCCUCCUUUGUUAAGAGCUACUUGGUUACUGGUUUGGAGCAGCUGGAUGCCAAUUUCAUUCCCUAAUUCACAGUGCUGAGGAGCCUUUGUAACCCUUAUUUGUCUGCAGAACAACCCCAACCUUGCACUGACCCAUUUAUAACUCUUACUCUGCUGCAGUCUCCU
Passer domesticus (house sparrow) is the source of this 2259-nucleotide long non-coding RNA. RefSeq lists it as uncharacterized. NCBI's taxonomy places the organism in Eukaryota, Metazoa, Chordata, Aves, Passeriformes, Passeridae. The record is from RefSeq and is a predicted model, not a curated record. The transcript is spliced from 3 exons.